Non-coding RNA from Aspergillus fumigatus Af293, 105 nucleotides. Lineage: Eukaryota; Fungi; Ascomycota; Eurotiomycetes; Eurotiales; Aspergillaceae. The record is from the annotation of a RefSeq genome assembly.
AGAUGAAGCGAACCGGAACGCAAAAAUCGGUUUCGAGUGCCGUUCUAUCUAAGAAAGUCCCCGAGCAGUUCGAGAAGUAUUCACUCUGGACCCUCGUCAAGUUCA